GUUGUGCAGAACGUUUUUCCUGAUUUGUAACUGACAGUUCACUAAAUAUAACCGCGAAAAUAAAGCGUUUACAUCAUAAUAAACAAUUGUUCAGCAUAAACUUCAAGUUAGGUAGAUUUAUGAGUUGGACCAGAACGUAUCGGGAGAUACUUCCGUAAUCGUCGGAGGAAGUCUAACAGAUGAAGAUAUGAGUUUGGUUAUGUUAUGACACGAGUUAUCUCCCUUGAUGAACGGAUGACCGUCUAAACAACACCAUGCCGGUCGAGGUACCCAAACAGAGGGUCCUAAAGUACUCUCAGGCUCUGAUGGGAUGCUCGGGACAGGCUGCAGCAUAUGGUAAAUGUGUAGCAGCAAAAGGCACCAUCAAGAAAGCAGAAUGUGAAAAGGAAUUUCUGUUACUUAAAGAAUGUAUGCAGGCUGGUAUGAAGAAAAUAAAGUAAUCAAGAACAAAGACAUACAGAAGCAAUAUAGUGCAGACAAUGCUUUUUUUUUUACAAAACUUGUGGUGAUACAUUGAUCAUCAGGGAAAUUUAGGAAGAAGCAAUUUACAAUAUAUUGAAAACGAGUUACUUUGUUUGCAUGUAUACAUGUAUUAUUUUCAUAUAGAAUAAACGUGUUUUGGAAGGUUUUUUGUUA
This is a long non-coding RNA of Mizuhopecten yessoensis (Yesso scallop), 636 nucleotides long. RefSeq lists it as uncharacterized. NCBI's taxonomy places the organism in Eukaryota, Metazoa, Mollusca, Bivalvia, Pectinida, Pectinidae. The transcript is spliced from 3 exons. The record is from RefSeq and is a predicted model, not a curated record.